This 484-nucleotide ribosomal RNA is filed under the name uncultured bacterium. RNAcentral's name for it is "partial 16S ribosomal RNA". It matches the Rfam family "Bacterial small subunit ribosomal RNA", at positions 30 to 507 of the family's 1533-position model. The record is from RNAcentral.
AUUGAACGCUGGCGGCAGGCCUAACACAUGCAAGUCGAGCGGAUGAGAGGAGCUUGCUCCUUGAUUUAGCGGCGGACGGGUGAGUAAUGCCUAGGAAUCUGCCUGGUAGUGGGGGAUAACGUUCCGAAAGGAACGCUAAUUCCGCAUACGUCCUACGGGAGAAAGCAGGGGACCUUCGGGCCUUGCGCUAUCAGAUGAGCCUAGGUCGGAUUAGCUAGUUGGUGAGGUAAUGGCUCACCAAGGCGACGAUCCGUAACUGGUCUGAGUGGAUGAUCAGUCACACUGGAGCUGAGACACGGUCCAGACUCCUACGGGAGGCAGCAGUGGGGAAUAUUGGACAAUGGGCGAAAGCCUGAUCCAGCCAUGCCGCGUGUGUGAAGAAGGUCUUCGGAUUGUAAAGCACUUUAAGUUGGGAGGAAGGGCAGUAAGCUAAUACCUUGCUGUUUUGACGUUACCGACAGAAUAAGCACCGGCUAACUUCGUG